RNAcentral lists this ribosomal RNA (439 nucleotides) under uncultured bacterium. RNAcentral describes it as "partial 16S ribosomal RNA". It matches the Rfam family "Bacterial small subunit ribosomal RNA", at positions 339 to 795 of the family's 1533-position model. The record is from RNAcentral.
CUACGGGCCGCUCCAGUGAGGAAUAUUGCACAAUGGGGGGAACCCUGAUGCAGCAACGCCGCGUGGAGGAUGACGCAUUUCGGUGUGUAAACUCCUUUUAUAUGUCAAGAAAAUGACGGUAGCAUAUGAAUAGGCGCCGGCUAACUCCGUGCCAGCAGCCGCGGUAAUACGGAGGGCGCAAGCGUUACUCGGAAUCACUGGGCGUAAAGGACGCGUAGGCGGGUUGAAAAGUCAGGUGUGAAAGCCUACAGCUUAACUGUAGAACUGCACUUGAAACUCUCAACCUAGAGUAUGGGAGGGGCAGAUGGAAUUAGUGGUGUAGGGGUAAAAUCCGUAGAUAUCACUAGGAAUACCUAAAGCGAAGGCGAUCUGCUGGAACAUUACUGACGCUAAGGCGUGAAAGCGUGGGGAGCAAGCAGGAUUAGAUACCCGCGUAGUC